CGCGUUUGCGCAAUGUGCAACAUAUACAUAUUUUCUGUUAUUGUUGGUGGUUCAAAAAGUGUUUUGUGUAAGUUCACGGUAUUUGUCCUAUUGUGAAUUGUGAUUAUCGGUACUGCGAUAAAUUCAGAAUAGUGUAGUAAAUACCGUUUUGUCAAGAAAACAGCACUAAACCUACAUAACCUCACUUCUACAUGCAAUGCAGAAAAUGCAAUUUCUCAACACAGACAAAAUGAUGAAUGUCCGGGCGCAACCAAAAAAAAGAAGAAAUCGAGUUAGAAAUUGCGGGAGAUACGCAGAAAUUGGAUGAAUUGUUUCAGACUGAUACUAAUGUUUAUUUGUCAGGAAGAGAAAACGUAAAAAAACAUGUAUGCAAUUUUGAAGAAAUUAUUAAUAGUGAACCAAACUGCUUUCAAGUUUUCAGGGCAAGGAAAAAAAUAAGCUCUCUUUUAGUGAACUCACAAUUAACAAGGCUACAAUAUGUCAAGUUAUGUGAUUUCUUAAAAAUUACGAACUUUGUAAGUUAAUUUAAUUGUAGGUACCACACGGAAACGUCACAAAAACGCCACAACUACUGAAAUUUAAAAAAUGGUAGGACCUCAUUAAGCGCAGACAAAAACAAGAAUGAAUUCUCAUCGAAAAAAACAUGAGAGCAAAUAAUUAUUAAUAAAUAUUUCUGUAUAACGAUUGAAAUGUAGCAGAACAUUGUUAAUUCCAUUGACAAUGUAUUUUUAUUUCAUUGUAAGUUGGCAGUGUAAUUUUAUGUUUAAAAAAUUUAUAUUGUGUUUCACAUCAGGUGAUUUUUUAAAUUUAUGCUCUGGUUGCCCAUGAAGCUUAUGCCAGCAGUUUCAGUUUCACUGCUGACAUAAGUGUCAUGGGUAACUACAGCAGAAAUAAAAAAAAAAUCACCUGGUACAAAUUUUCAACGAAUUGGUUCUAGGACAAAUAAUUUUUAAAUGUAUAAAUAUUGCCGCAAUGUUUCAAAUACACUG
Long non-coding RNA from Zophobas morio, 989 nucleotides. RefSeq lists it as uncharacterized. The transcript has 4 exons. NCBI's taxonomy places the organism in Eukaryota, Metazoa, Arthropoda, Insecta, Coleoptera, Tenebrionidae. The record is from RefSeq and is a predicted model, not a curated record.